CUCCUCUCACAUUCUGUCAUUGUGUCCUCGGCCUAGCUGCCACGUGGUCGUAGCGGACCAGGACUGACCCCUCAGUUUUUUACUCUCACUCUUCCUCUUUCUCCUUCACUGUCCACAUCUCAUUGUCGAUUUCUGCGACUGUGUAUCACACUAGACGAAGUGCUGGAAUGGCCAUCUCACAGGUUCACAGACUGUUUGGCCCAGAGACAGCAGAGUACUUCCUGAACCCAGCCCUUGUGAAAACACGUGCGUCACCAUGGCUCCUGCAAUGGAUGGCUCAGGUGGGAGAACAGGUUAGCGGACAGGUGUUGUGGAACACACUGAGAAGGAACUCCAACGCCCGGCUACUGAAAAUGGAAACUGGUUGUCCGAAGGUGGCGCGCGAGGCUGAGAACAUCGCAGGAGUCGAUGCCCAUAAGCAUGAGCGGAGUCACCUGCACCAUCUGUCUCGGGUCAGAUGCAUGUUUCAGACCGCACAACUCAACCAGGCCAAGACCACCCGGCUGCUUGCCGAAAACCCCCUGCCGCAGCUCUCGGACCGCUGGGAAUGGGGGGGUCCUCAUGGGUACCUCCCACAGAUGAGGGACAUGCAAGAAACAUCUGCCAGGGAUGUACAAAGAUUCAAACAUGGGAAACUCACAUAGCUGCAGUUUAUUCAGGAAUCACGGAUAGAGUCAUAUGUGACUAUAUAAAAAAGUAGCUUUUAUGCUUAUAAGGUGCUUUGCAACAAAAUUUUAGCUCAAUGGACAAAAGUAAAUUUUUUAACACUGGUGAUCGCAAGCAGUUUUGCUAAAAAAGAGAAAAACAUCAAGAAGUUUUGGUACUUCAUCUUGUUUUUACUGAACUUGUAAAUGUGCACCAUUAUAGGCCCCAAGUGUCUAAGUGAUACUCACAAUGCAUUGUACUUUUUCAGUGAUAAACACUAAUUAACAACUGCUGAAGGGCUACAAGUCGCAGAUAUAUGAAUCAGUGUACAUGCAGAAAAAAAUGCGUGUAGAUGUUAAUUGCUGCAAAAAGGAAGCCUUAUGUCAUAUUCUCCACCAAAAAUCUAUAGCAUACUUUAACGAACAUAACCAUUUACGGACACAAUGUGUUAACCAUUGCUUGCUGUUUCAGUUUUAACUGACAAAGUCAUUGCUUUAAAAUUUAUAUUAACUGUAACUUCCAUGAAUCAAAUUAUAUUAAAUUAUUAUAUAAUUUAUUUUACCUCCAUUUAUUGGGGAUUUUUGUGAAUGACAGUAAUGCUUUUUAAUUCCUUGAAAAAUACUGGCAAUCACGAUCCAAAAGAGGGCAGUGUCCGGUCACAUGAUACUUACCACAGUAAGUACACUCAAUAACUUAAAUUUACACUUUCAUUAGUUCUACAUGGUUCUAUUUCUAAUCUUUUUCAGUACUGAGUACUCGGUUGAUUUUAAAAUGUAACCAAAAAUGUGUUGUGCAUGUGAUUUUAAACUUUUAAACUAUUUUUUCAUCAUAAAUGGGAAUACCAUACUUAUCCAGUUUUAAGUAAGAAUCAAGAAAACGCUUCUACGGUUUGUGGAAGAAUCUGACUGCACUGAUUUUAAUAAAACUUUGCAAUGUGGCGAUCCUAC
Long non-coding RNA from Scleropages formosus (Asian bonytongue), 1592 nucleotides. The record is from Ensembl. Lineage: Eukaryota; Metazoa; Chordata; Actinopteri; Osteoglossiformes; Osteoglossidae.